CGGUUGAUCCUGCCGGAGGUCACCGCUAUCCCGGUCCGACUGAGCCAUGCAAGUCUGGGACUUCGGUCCCGGCGCACAGCUCAGUAACACGCGGUCAACCUAAGCUGCGGUGGGGGAUAACCUCGGGAAACUGAGGAUAAUACCCCAUAGCUGAGGGUGGCUGGAAUGCGCCCUCGGCAAAAGCUUCGGCGCCGCAGCAUGGGACCGCGGCCCAUCAGGUAGUUGGCGGGGUAACGGCCCACCAAGCCUGCGACGGGUACGGGUCGUGAGAGCGUCGGCCCGGAGUUGGGGACUGGAACAAGGCCCCAGGCCCUACGGGGCGCAGCAGGCACGAAACCUCCACAAUGCCCGAAAGGGUGAUGGGGGGACCGGGAGUGCCCUCGCUCUGCGGGGGCUUUUCCCGAGCCUAAAAAGCUCGGGGAAUAAGGGCUGGGCAAGACUGGUGCCAGCAGCCGCGGUAAUACCAGCAGCCCGAGUGGUGACCACAAUUAUUGGGCUUAAAGCGUCCGUAGCCGGGCUGGUCUGUCUCUGGUGAAAUCUUCCGGCCUAACCGGAAGGCGUGCCAGAGAUACUGCCAGCCUUGGGGCCGGGAGAGGGCAGGGGUACUCCCAGGGUAGGGGUGAAAU
This 626-nucleotide ribosomal RNA is filed under the name uncultured archaeon. RNAcentral describes it as "bacterial SSU rRNA". It matches the Rfam family "Archaeal small subunit ribosomal RNA", at positions 5 to 638 of the family's 1478-position model. The record is from RNAcentral.